CCAUUUGAGGCUUCGGGACUAUUUAGGGUUAUGUUUCUCCCUGCUUUGACUCUGGAGGGUGCUUACUGACUCGCUGUGGAAUGGGAAGGAGAGAUCCACAUGGCAGGAUGCCCAGAUCUGAGCGUGGUCACCGCCAGAGCUCUCUGGGUUGGCCCAGCAGCCUGCAGAGAUCUUUGCUAUAGCUCGUGCCUGACACUCCACAGUGCCUCCUGCCUGCUGUCCAGCACAGCCCCUUGUUGCUUUGCUGCUGCCCUUCGCUGGGGCUGCUGCCUGCCUUGCCUGGACCUCUGUCUGCUGCUGAUUACGAAACCCUCUUAAGGUUUUCUAGCUGGGCCCAUCCCUCAGAAUGGAAACUACUGUGUCCAGACUCAAUCACUAUGUCCCAGUUAUGGCAGGGAGAAGAGAUGCUCUUGGGAGUUUCGGAGCCAGCAAGAGAUAAUGAGGGGAAAGGGGGAAAAUGUCCUCAUGAUCUUCCAGGAAGCAAAGUUGCACGUGACGCCAAGGUGAGACUGUUACUGCUGUUGCUAUUGCUAUUCGUAGUCAGCCUACGAGUGCCCAGCUGCUUGCAAAGGUGCCUCUGGCUGGCUGAAAUGACCUGGAAUCCCAGCCCCCAGAGCGUGUGCCCCCUAGCUCCAUGCCCUUGGGCUGAGGACUUACUCACUCUUUCUGAAGCUCCAUUUCCUCAUCCGCCAAAUGAGGCUUUGUGGAGAUCAUACCUUUGCUCAUUUUCAAACUCUCAGGGCGGCGUCAGCCAAACCAGUCGGUGGACAGUGCAUGGGAACGUGUGUGGUGCACCAUGCAGAUGAUGUGGUCUUCCUUCACGCAUCGGCGGGGGCCACAGACCUGGACCCUCUUGCCUGCUGUUGGUGGACUGCAAAGAUUGGGAUCAGUGUCCUGAGGGCAUAGCAGGUCAGAAAAGAGGCAAAUGGCCUGACAUGGAGCCAGCUGAGACGAGGGAGACAGUAUACGAAGCCAAGGGCUUUGGGGAGCCAGCAGAGCCCUUGCAUGGGGAAGUGUAAAGGAAAGGAAUUUCCUGAGUGGAGAGGAAUUUCCUGAGCUAGAGUACAGGGGCUCCUGACUUCUUUUUGUUUGGGGCUUGCUGUUGCUGGUCUAGCAGCUCAGACUGAAGCUGUUUUGGAAGCAGCUAAUAGGGUAGAAGAAGAACAGACCAAAUGUGAGGGACUGUUCUGGUAAGAUCUGGCAGGACUGGGGGACCCGGGAAAGGGUACAAGGCCAGUGCCAGCUAGCCCAAGGGAAACCCUGUUCAGAGGAGAGAGAGUGGGAAGUGACCUAGGUGAGCAGCAGAGGCAGGCCGUAUUUGGACACUGUGAUGAUUAAUUUUAGGUGUCGACUUGGCUAGGCUCUGAUGCCCAGUUGUUUGGUCAGACGCUAGUCUGGAUGCUGGUGUGAAAAUAUUUUUUAUAUGUGAUUAACAUUUAAAUCGGUUGACUUUGACUAAAGCAAAUUGCUCUCCAUGAUGUGGGUGGGCCUCAUCCAAUCAGUUGAAGGCCUGAAGAUGAAAGACUGAGGUUUCCCAAAGAAGAAGAAAUUUGCCUUCAAGACCGUAUCAUAGAAACCCUUGCCAGGUUUCCAACCUGCCUGGCCUGCCCCGAAGAUUUUGAACUCAAGACUACAGCGUCCGUUCUUACCUGAUUUCUAGCCUGUUGGGCUGCACUACAAAUUUCAGACUUGUUCGCUCCUAUAAUGGUGUGAGCCAGUUCCUUCAAAUCCCCUCAUGCAUCUAUGUAUUUGUAUAUGCACAUGUAUUGUGUAUAUGUGUUUAUGCGCGUCCGUGUAUAUAUUAUAGGUAUGUGUAUAUACAUAUUUGCAUCUAU
Molecule: long non-coding RNA, 1835 nt
Filed under: Sus scrofa (pig)
Lineage: Eukaryota; Metazoa; Chordata; Mammalia; Artiodactyla; Suidae
Description: lncRNA (ENSSSCG00040049046.1, ENSSSCG00055023814.1, ENSSSCG00060013674.1, ENSSSCG00165019115.1)
Source: RNAcentral